UACGUAGGGUGCGAGCGUUAAUCGGAAUUACUGGGCGUAAAGCGUGCGCAGGCGGUUUUGUAAGCCAGAUGUGAAAUCCCCGGGCUUAACCUGGGAAUGGCAUUUGGGACUGCAAGGCUUGAGUGCGGCAGAGGAGACUGGAAUUCCCGGUGUAGCAGUGAAAUGCGUAGAUAUCAGGAGGAAUACCGAUGGCGAAGGCAGGUCUCUGGGCUGACACUGACGCUCAUGCACGAAAGCGUGGGGAGCAAACAGG
Molecule: ribosomal RNA, 253 nt
Filed under: uncultured bacterium
Lineage: Bacteria
Description: partial 16S ribosomal RNA
Rfam family: Bacterial small subunit ribosomal RNA
Source: RNAcentral